This 482-nucleotide ribosomal RNA is filed under the name uncultured bacterium. RNAcentral's name for it is "bacterial SSU rRNA". It matches the Rfam family "Bacterial small subunit ribosomal RNA", at positions 30 to 506 of the family's 1533-position model. The record is from RNAcentral.
UUGAACGCUGGCGGCAUGCCUUACACAUGCAAGUCGAACGGCAGCACGGGAGCAAUCCUGGUGGCGAGUGGCGAACGGGUGAGUAAUGUAUCGGAACGUACCCUGUCGUGGGGGAUAACACAGCGAAAGCUGUGCUAAUACCGCAUACGACCUGAGGGUGAAAGCGGGGGAUCGCAAGACCUCGCGCGAUAGGAGCGGCCGAUAUCGGAUUAGCUUGUUGGUGAGGUAAAGGCUCACCAAGGCGACGAUCCGUAGCUGGUCUGAGAGGACGACCAGCCACACUGGAACUGAGACACGGUCCAGACUCCUACGGGAGGCAGCAGUGGGGAAUUUUGGACAAUGGGGGCAACCCUGAUCCAGCCAUUCCGCGUGAGUGAAGAAGGCCUUCGGGUUGUAAAGCUCUUUCAGCAGGAACGAAACGGUGGCCAAUAAUACUGGCUACUAAUGACGGUACCUGAAGAAGAAGCACCGGCUAACUACGU